This 85-nucleotide transfer RNA is filed under the name Podarcis lilfordi (Lilford's wall lizard). RNAcentral describes it as "tRNA.Ile". The stretch from base 9 to 77 matches the Rfam family "tRNA". From Rfam's summary of the family: Transfer RNA (tRNA) molecules are approximately 80 nucleotides in length. Their secondary structure includes four short double-helical elements and three loops (D, anti-codon, and T loops). Further hydrogen bonds mediate the characteristic L-shaped molecular structure. tRNAs have two regions of fundamental functional importance: the anti-codon, which is responsible for specific mRNA codon recognition, and the 3' end, to which the tRNAs corresponding amino acid is attached (by aminoacyl-tRNA synthetases). tRNAs cope with the degeneracy of the genetic code in two manners: having more than one tRNA (with a specific anti-codon) for a particular amino acid; and 'wobble' base-pairing, i.e. permitting non-standard base-pairing at the 3rd anti-codon position. The record is from RNAcentral. Lineage: Eukaryota; Metazoa; Chordata; Lepidosauria; Squamata; Lacertidae.
GCUUUUGUACCUGGAUAGCUCAGUUGGUUAGAGUGUGGUGCUGAUAAUGCCAAGGUUGCAGGUUCGAUCCCCAGGUGGGAGAGCU